CAAACUACAAUUCCCAUGAGGACAAGGGCUUGGUCCCCAGGCUUCCCUGGUGACCAAUAGGAGGUGGCCCAACGGCCGCUGUGUAGGUGAGAGUACAGACUUGGGUCGGAGCGCGGGGCCUAGGCGGGCUAGCGCGAGACGCGGAGUGGAGAAGACACUUCUACUGCGUGGGGCGCGGUGAGGGCACUCGAGCCCUGGACCUGCCGCGCCCGCUCGAUUUUCCGCGGCUGUUUAAGGAGUAGCGCUUCGGUAGCCGGGGAGCUGGAGGUCAGAGAGGCAGAAAGCCCGAUGGCUGUGGCUGGGGACUGUGGGACUGAAGGGUCUAAAAGGAGGGUGCUUCCGGGGCCCGUGUCUUCAGUGCCUAACUCCGCCCAGCUCCGCCUCUGCAGGGGAGGGGGUGUCGGCACCGGGAGGAGGGGGUGAGGAUCAGUAACCUCAAGUCUCGGGAGCGCACCCGCGCUCUUUCCUCCAACUUGCCUGUUUUCUUUGUCCAUCACAAAGCGGUCCGGGUCCCGCUCCCACCCCGCCACCCUGGUUUUUGCCUCUCAAGAGGACCAAAGUUAGGGUUCGUGACAGGGUCUUCCCUAGGCGGCGUCUAGACUCUUUCGUACUGCUUACAGGAGUUGAGUGACCGCUUGCCUGAAUUGCAGUUCAAGUUCGGGCAUCCACCCCUCCCAAUGCAAACAUUCCCCAUUUUCUCUGGGGGUGUGGAAAUUCUUUGCCAUGCCCGGGACGUGACUUUCUGUCAAAUUUCUCUUUCUACCUCAGUGGUGGGAUUAAAAAAAGAUCCCCAUGUCUUUACCGACCCUUCCAGCCACCCACCCCUUCCCUAACCAGGACUUUGGAGUGGAAAGGGUUUCCCUUCAGUAUCCAGAAGGGACAGGGAACUGACGUCGGAAGGAAUCUUGCUUUAAAGAAAUAAUGUGUUGAAUGUUCAGUGCAGUAUUCCUGGGAGACUGAAAGGCAAAUUAGACCUAUUUAAAAACCCCAGGGGUUUAGAGAUUUCCAGCAAAGACCGAUAUCACUAAUGUUGAUGAACAUUUAGGGGCACACAAACUUCAGAAUAGAGUGACUGUGUGAAACAGACUGUAUUCAUUAUUGUAUUGUUACAAACGCAAAAAGUGCUGAGGGGCUAGUGAAAGGACAUACUGAUAGGGGUUGUGGGGUUAAUUUAUGGGAGUUGAAGCCUAACCCAGGAAAUGCUGAAACCUUGAAACUCAACUGUCUUUCAGAACAAUCUUGGUAGGCUUUUUGAAGGAGGUUAAUUUUAAUUUGGGCUUCAAAGGAGAAAAGGGGAUUUGAAAUGAGCAGAGGGGAGAGAAAAUGCUUCCUGCUACUGGGGUUGGAGUUUAAGAAAAAGGGAUAGAAGAGGGGUCUUUGUGUGACAGGUGGGCUUGCCAGAUUGAAGUAAGAGGUGUCAGCAGGAAUAUAUUGGGAAAUAGUGUUGAAAAACUUGGGAUCAUAAUAACAUGGCACUUUGAAGAAUCCACAUAGUUUGGAUAUUAUUCUGUAUCAAAUAAAAUUAAAGACAAAAAAACUAAGAUUGGGUGAUUUUUCUUUUCAUCCUAGGGGAACCUGAUUUGAAAUCAAUUCUUGAAGAACACAAAGAAGUGUGGUGGUAUGUUCCAGGUGUGAGUUUAAUUUAAAUCUAAGAAGAAGCUUGUCUUAGAGACAUUUUGUUGGUGGCUAUUCUUAGCUACAAUCUGUAGUUCUCAAUUUGAAAGCCGGGUGACAUAAAUUUAUUUUCUUAAG
Molecule: long non-coding RNA, 1752 nt
Filed under: Marmota monax (woodchuck)
Lineage: Eukaryota; Metazoa; Chordata; Mammalia; Rodentia; Sciuridae
Source: RNAcentral